Molecule: long non-coding RNA, 1310 nt
Organism: Otolemur garnettii (small-eared galago)
Lineage: Eukaryota; Metazoa; Chordata; Mammalia; Primates; Galagidae
Exons: 3
Source: RefSeq, a predicted model, not a curated record
UCCCUGGGUUGAAUCGAUGUGAACAUGAAGCAGGUAAAGAGAAGUACGUGGGCACUCGCUAGAGGAGUAAGGCAUUUUACACUUCAUUAUCUCAAGCAUCCUGCUUGGCUUUGCUGCCUCAGAAGCUCUGCCAAGCCUUUCACUUUCUGAAUUCCCCUUACACCCAGCCUGUGAAUGCAGAGGAAGCUUUUUCGUGCUUAAGCAGUAUGACUGCCCUCAGGACUCAGUCCCAUUUGUUAGAAAUGAAUUCUGCCAACAGUCAUCUGUGCCUGGAAGAAGGCUCAACCCUCGGAUGAGACUGCAGCCCAGGCUGACAUCCUGUGAGACUGAGCUGAAGACCCACUGGAGCCAGGCCUCCAUGAUGGAAACUGUGAGAUGAUAAAUGUACUUUAUUUUUUGGUUUAAGCUGACACAUUUGUGGUGAUACGUAGAAAACUAAUACAAUAGGCAAAAGAUAUGCAUAUACAUCACAAAAGAAGAUCUAUCAAAGUAGUCAAUAAGUACAUGAAAAGAUGUUCAAUGUCAUUAGUCAUUUGGGGAAAUGCAAAUUAAAACAAAUGGGAACAUAUUUCCACGCAAAACACAAGAUAGCAUGGCUGAAGUUAGAGGGGAACCCUAAUAAGACCAAGUGCACCAUCUGGAAUUCUCAUAAACUUGCUAUUGAAAUGUAAAAUGGUACCACUGCUUUGGAAAACAGCUUGGGAGUUUCUAUAAAGCAUACAUUAUCAUAUGGCCCAGCUAUUCUACUUGUAGUUAUUCAAGAAAAAUGAUAACAUGUGUCCACAUAAAGACUUGUAUGCAAAUGUUCACUGCACUUUUUCAUAAUAGCUAUGAAGUAGAAACAAUCUAAUUGUACCCAACUGCCCAUAGGCAAAUGAAUAAAUUGUGCUGUAUCCAUACAAGAGAAUACUACUCAGCCAUGGUAAACAUUUUUGGGGGUGAUGGGAAUGUUCUAUAUUAUGAUAGUGGUGGUGGUGAUUAUAUGGAUGUAUACAUUUGUCAAAACUUGUCUAAAAUUACACUUAAAAUGGGUGCUUUUUAUACCUAAAUGAUGUCUUAACUGAGUUGAUUUUUAAAAGGUCACUUUCCCAGUGUGAUUUUAUUUGCUCAAAAAUGAUCCCACAGAGAGAGAGAAAAACGAAUGAUGCAGGUGGACAGAGGUCAAUUGCAGGAGGGAUGUCCUUGAAUAGGAAGCAGGGUGAGAUCCAGGGCUUGAAUGGGGUAGUUGGAUGUUAACAAAACCAGGGGUCGUGUAUGUGUUUUUUCAGUUAAGCAGGAAGCAGAGAGUUAGGAGAGGGUGAGUUUUCUGU